ACUCGUCACCUCGUAUGCAUGGACUACAAUUAGCAUAGAAGACUCAAAUUCCAUGAGGUAGUCCACUACAACAAAAUAUAUUUUUAGCGGCAAUUAUUUAGUGGCAAUAAGAUAAUCGCCGGUAAUUAAUUCCUUAUGUCAAACUGUUAGUGGCUAAUAUAAAUUAGACGGAAAAAGUUACAUAUUUAUUGACAAUUAAAUGAAAUGGCCAGUAAAAUAACAAACUUUAUCUUUUUAAUCUCCAAAAGAAAACCCUAUAUUUUUCAUUUCCCUCUCUAUUACUCCUCCCACCUUUGGCUUUUCUUCUAUAGUGUUUCUCUUAUUUUUUUUCCAUUUAUAUCAUCUAAGAGUUUUUAUGCUUUCAAUGAAUAUUGAAGAUAAUAGCAGCAAUCCAGCAACCAAAAACGAAGAAAAAGCAUGAACACAUAUAUUACACCAUUUUCAAAGCCCGAUUAACUAGUUAUUGAUCGAAAACCUCUGCCUUUUUACUAUCGCCGGCAUCUCCAUCACUGUCAGUUACCUAUUUGAUACUUUUGCAUAAUUUUUUACUUGUAUUUGUCAUUUUCUAUCUACAUCCUUAUAUAGAUAGAAUGUUCUACGUAUUCCAUUUUGAUAGGAAUUAAGUGUUCUCAAUUUUUUUGUUUUUAGCUUUGCGUUUGUUGGAUUUUGAUUUUGUAAUAAUUGAAACUGGAUUUAUUCUACUUUAUUUGCAUUUUACUAUAUUGCUUGUGAUGGAAUUUGAUUCUGAAUUAUUUGAGUAUUCUAUAUUACUUUAGGUGUUGCUUCUAGAGGACAAAUUCAAGAAACCUAUUCAGUGUUCGAUAAAAUGUUACAAAGAAGUAUGUUUGCUUUAAUAACAAUGACUAAUGUGUAUGAUGCUUUACUAGUAUUUCUAUGAAUCUUUGAAAAUCAAGACAUCAUUUUUUAGACAUUCAUAUGUUUUGAAUUUUUAAUUUAUGUGACCCUCGGUUAGAUCAAUAUCAAUUGAAAAGUUUUAAACAUAAGAGCUCCAAGAGAGGAUAAAUAAAGCGUAAACAGAUGCAAUAAUAGACUAAAUGAGGAGAAAUACAUUUGCCUGUGUCAGUUGUUUCUUUUACCAGAUUCUAUACAUAAGUCUAUGCAACAAUAGAGUAAAUGAGAUCACUCAACGAACUGCUGCUUACUAAAGAGAGUAAAAACUUUUCUAAACCUAGGAAAUCAUAUCUCCAAUUAUAUUUUGUUUAACAUAGUAAUCAAUUGACAGUUUAAGUUAUUGAUUUUAAUUCAUUAUUUGUGGGCGUAGGGUUGAAUUUUAAAGAUAUAAUGUGAAAGUCCAGGCAGAGAUUAGUUAUAUAUUGUGGGUGAGGAUUUGAAUGGAAGCUCCUUCUAGUUAACAUUAUCUUGUUAACUUGAUCCCAAAUGGGGAAUGUUCCUAGUCAAUGAACAUUCUUCCUUAUUGUUAAUUUUUUAGGGAGAGGGAGACGCAAAAAAAAUUAGAACUUUCUGUGGAUUAGCACAAAUUGAUAACUCUUUAUUUAUUCUAUGUUCUUGCAUGCCAUAUAUAAAUAAUUGUUUGAAUAUCUUUCCUUAUAAAUAAGUAAUUAUAUGAUAGGCCAUUUUUAUUAUCAAUAUUUUGUUUGUGCUAGGUUAUUUGCAGUUGUGGAUGGUAUAUUCUGCUUGUUUAACGCCACAUUGAGAAUGUAUAAUAUCUAAAGUAACAAUAUGGUUAAAAAAUAUAAUGAAUAAAGUAAUCGUUGUUGUAGAGGCAUAUAUAACUUUGAUGGAUAAAGGUCCUUAUCAUGCAGAUCAAGUUAGUAGAGAUUUCCAUGGAAAGUUUACUUUCAUUCUCUAUGGAAGCUCUUCAACAACUAUCUUUUUAACUACUAUGGGUGUUUUUUUAAUAUAUCUUGAUCUUGAUAUCAAAUUGUCCAUAAUUGAAAUUGGACAUUCUUCUAGGUAUGCUUCUUUUUUUAAAAAUAAUGUGAAAUUGGCCGAGCUUGCAAUUUAACUAUUAUUAUGUUGUUUAACCUCUUAUAAGAGAAAAAAACUGGAGCUAUACAAGAAAAUUGUUAAAAUGGUUUAAGAUGGUAAGACUGAUGGUAUCUAGGUUGCUAUAUUAUUUUACUAAUCAAGUUAAUAGAGAUAAGUUGACUUUUCUAAAUCAGAAGUUUCUUUUAUAGAACCAUUCUAGACACAUUAAGGUGAAUCUUGAUGUGCUAGUAAAAUCACUGGAUGAAUGUGGCAAAACUUAUGAGUUGUGACCUGAAUUAACUACACUGCUUGAACUUUUAUUUGAUAACUGCACACCUUUUUGUUCUUUUUGUGAUGAUAUAAUCUUUCAUCGAGUUUUUCAUAUGUUUCUAUCUUUUUAUUAUAAAAUCAGUAAAAUCUAAUAAAAAGACUAUGUGAAAAAUAUAAUCAUUUUUUUGUUAGUUCUUUGUGCUGAAUUGGCACUAAGUUAUAGAUUCUGAGAAGAAUCUACUAAUAAAAAUUAUUUCCGAGAAGAAAUUGUGGUUCUAGCAAAGAAUUUUUUCUCUUAAAAAUGCCAGUUGAAUUUCUUUGAAGAUGAUCGGUUUCCAACAGUUUUGAUGAUUACCUUGUAUAUUUUAAAAACCAAAUCAAAAUUUUCUUGUCUGAACAUGUGUUCUUACUUACUUAAUAGGAACUAGCAUCGAUACAUGUGACCCUAAAUGAACAAAGAGCUAGGAGUGAGAACUUGAAAAGAAUCAAGGUUCAUUUUGCCUUCAUAGUCUAUAUUUCAACUAUAGAUAAGUAAUCCCUUUUCAUGAGCAGAUGCACUAAAUUUCUGCAACUUUUAUUGUGCAGAUUGAUUUGGAUCUACAAUCUAUAAAUGACAUGGCUACAGAAUCAGUGUCCUACCAAUGGAACUUGCUGGUUAAUCAAGAAUCGUCCAUGUUGGUUUAAACUUGUCUGGACACACCAUAUGACCUGGUAUUAUUUGCAUUAUUUGCACAUACAUUUUGCUCGCCUAUUAAUCCAUCUAGUUGUUUUUGCUAAUAAAUGUUUGGUGAGAGAGUUGGCUAAAAAAGAAUAUGACAGACUGACAAUGAUAGACUCUUCAAUAUAUUUUUUCACAUUAUAUUUUAUCUUUUGACACAUUUUUUUUAUAAUUUCAGGUCACACUUUGAUGUUCAAUAAUUUAGCGGGUGGAAGAUUUUAAUAUGAUGAAAAGUUGCGGAAAUUAUUUGAAGAUUAUCAUUCGUCAGGAUUAGUUAUAUAAUAGCAUUAGCUAUUCAAUUCGAACAAUAUAAGUUUAUUUUUAAGUUAGUAUGAC
Molecule: long non-coding RNA, 3274 nt
Filed under: Nicotiana tabacum (common tobacco)
Lineage: Eukaryota; Viridiplantae; Streptophyta; Magnoliopsida; Solanales; Solanaceae
Description: long non-coding RNA (NTAB_LNC015289)
Source: RNAcentral